This is a non-coding RNA of Picea glauca (white spruce), 119 nucleotides long. NCBI's taxonomy places the organism in Eukaryota, Viridiplantae, Streptophyta, Pinopsida, Pinales, Pinaceae. The record is from Rfam.
AUUGUAAUUCCUACAAUGUUAAUGCACUAGAUCCCAUUAGAAUUAUGUAGUUAAGCGCAUUUGAGAUAAAGUAGUACUGGGAUGGGUGACCUCUCGGGAAUUCCUAUUAUUUUACAUGC